This is a long non-coding RNA of Gorilla gorilla gorilla (western lowland gorilla), 1236 nucleotides long. RefSeq lists it as uncharacterized. The transcript has 6 exons. The record is from RefSeq and is a predicted model, not a curated record. NCBI's taxonomy places the organism in Eukaryota, Metazoa, Chordata, Mammalia, Primates, Hominidae.
UUACACAGGUGCUGGGUAAGAUGUUCUUCCAUAUGCUCAAGGCCACGGGUCAAGAUGUACUAGGCUGUCAGCAUUGUUGACUGUAAAUAUGAAGAUGCAUGAUGGGCACCUGGUACCUGGAUUGGAGUUCUCACUCUGUUCAUGUAGCAGAUGAAAAAAUCAAAGCACAGAGAGGCUAAGUGACUUGCCCAAGGCCACACAGCCAGGAAGCAAUCAGCUGGGAUUUGAACCCACACAGCCCGACUCCCGAGCCCACGAUGAUCACCCGUGUGUUCUACUGCCUCACCCCUGAGUGAACCUCACUGACCAUGAGAGAUGGGGUAGGAAGAGGGCUCACACCUGCUGGAUAUCCUCACCCACCUGGACAGGCAGGAAACCGAGGCACAGUCUAGUGUUGUGUGAGCAGGAAUGGAAGAAACACGCGACACUGCAGGAAGUCACAGAGGGUGGAGAAAUCAAAGGAAACUUCCCGGAGGAGACGAGAUCGUGCCACUGCACUCCAGCCUGGGCAACAGAGCAAGACUCUAUCUCCAAAAAAAAAAAAAAAAAGAAGAAGAAGAAGAAGAGGAUACACAGACACGGAGGGAAGAGGCCACAUGACACAGAGGCAGAGAAAGAAGGGAGGCGUCUACCAGCCAAGAAAUGCCAGGAGGCACCAGGUGUUGGAAGAGGAAAAGACUGUGACCAGCUUCACAAAAGGCAGCAAAGGACUAUCAGAGAAAGAGAACUCCGAGUGAGGGGUCUGGCCUAGGCCCGGGAUCGGACCAGGCUCCCUCAGGACCCCAUCCUAUCCUGCCCGGACCGUGAAUUCAUCUCCUUGAAGCCAUAACGUCCGAGCUGCUGGUGCAGGGCAGCCCUGGCCCUAGGCUUCCUACCCCUGGAAGCGAGAGGAUGAGAGGAGGCCGGCCCAGCUCCUUCUUUCAGGGUGGGGGGCAUUCAGCCUCCACUGUGUCUGUCUUUUCUUCCCUGGGGCUCCCCCUCGAGGCGAGGGGCCAGGCAUGUCUGGGGGACCCCUGGCCCCAAAACCCUCUGUCUGCCUCUGUCUCUUUGCUGUUUGUCCAAGACUCAGUGUCCCGACCCUUGUUCUCGCCGUGAAUGUCAAUGGGCCAAUCCUCUCUGUCCUUUCAGACACACACACACCUGUGUCCACCCCUUCUGUUCGCCACACCCUGCGCCUGGCCGGUCCCCCGACUGCUGCUGCUAUCAACGCCAGAAUAAACACACUCCACGGGUCUC